UAUACUGGAGGAAAGGUGGGGAUGACGUCAAGUCAUCAUGGCCCUUACGGCCUGGGCUACACACGUGCUACAAUGGUCGGUACAGAGGGUCGCCAAGCCGCGAGGUGGAGCUAAUCUCACAAAACCGAUCGUAGUCCGGAUCGCAGUCUGCAACUCGACUGCGUGAAGUCGGAAUCGCUAGUAAUCGCGAAUCAGAAUGUCGCGGUGAAUACGUUCCCGGGCCUUGUACACACCGCCCGUCACACCAUGGGAGUGGGUUGCACCAGAAGUAGCUAGUCUAACCUUCGGGAGGACGGUUACCACGGUGUGAUCAUGACUGGGGUGAAGUCGAAGCACAACG
RNAcentral lists this ribosomal RNA (340 nucleotides) under Pseudomonas putida. RNAcentral describes it as "bacterial SSU rRNA". It matches the Rfam family "Bacterial small subunit ribosomal RNA", at positions 1158 to 1498 of the family's 1533-position model. The record is from RNAcentral. Lineage: Bacteria; Pseudomonadati; Pseudomonadota; Gammaproteobacteria; Pseudomonadales; Pseudomonadaceae.